RNAcentral lists this ribosomal RNA (1233 nucleotides) under metagenome. RNAcentral's name for it is "bacterial LSU rRNA". It matches the Rfam family "Bacterial large subunit ribosomal RNA", at positions 1564 to 2808 of the family's 2925-position model. The record is from RNAcentral.
UGAGUACGAGACGCUAAGGCGUUGAAGUAGUGGAUGUCAUACUUCCAAGAAAAGCUUGCACUGUCAUAAGUAAAAAAUGCCUGUACCAUAACCGACACAGGUGGGUAGGUAGAGUAUACUAAGGGGCGCGAGAUAACUCUCUCUAAGGAACUCGGCAAAAUGACUCCGUAACUUCGGGAGAAGGAGUGCCUUAUUCGUAAGGCUGCAAUAACAAGAUCCAAGCAACUGUUUAUCAAAAACACAGGUCUCCGCUAAGUCGUAAGACGAUGUAUGGGGGCUGACGCCUGCCCAGUGCCAGAAGGUUAAAGAAGUCGGUUAGCAUUAGCGAAGCUGGUAACUGAAGCCCUGGUGAACGGCGGCCGUAACUAUAACGGUCCUAAGGUAGCGAAAUUCCUUGUCGGGUAAGUUCCGACCCGCACGAAAGGCGUAAUGAUUUGGAUACUGUCUCGGAGAGGGGCUCGGUGAAAUAGACUUGUCUGUGAAGAUGCGGACUACCUGCACCAGGACAGAAAGACCCUAUGAAGCUUUACUGUAACUUGAAAUUGAAUUGGACUUUAUUCGCGCAGUAUAGGUGGGAGGCGUUGAUUAUAAUCUUGCGGGAUUAUUGGAGCCAUCAGUGAGAUACCACUCUUGUAAUGUUAGAUUUCUAACUUUGAAUCAUUAUCUGGUCAAAGAACAGUUUCAGGCGGGCAGUUUGACUGGGGCGGUCGCCUCCUAAACGGUAACGGAGGCGUACAAAGGUUUCCUCUGAACGGGUAGAAAUCGUAUCUAGAGUGUAAAGGCAUAAGGAAGCUUGACUGUGAGACCUACAAGUCGAGCAGGGACGAAAGUCGGUCUUAGUGAUCUGACGGUACUGAGUGGAAGGGCCGUCACUCAACGGAUAAAAGUUACUCUAGGAUAACAGGCUGAUCUCCCCCAAGAGUUCACAUCGACGGGGAGGUUUGGCACCUCGAUGUCGGCUCAUCGCAUCCUGGGGCGGUAGUACGUCCCAAGGGUUGGGCUGUUCGCCCAUGAAAGCGGUACGCGAGCUGGGUUCAGAACGUCGUGAGACAGUUCGGUCCAUAUCCGGUGUAGGCGUUAGAAUAUUGAGAGGAGCCUUCUUUAGUACGAGAGGACCGAGAAGGACAUACCUCUGGUGUACCAGUUAUCGUGCCAACGGUAAACGCUGGGUAGCUAUGUAUGGAGUGGAUAACCGCUGAAAGCAUCUAAGUGGGAAGCCCACCUCAAGAUAAG